GGCGUAAGGGCUCGCAGGCGGUUUCUUAAGUCUGAUGUGAAAGCCCCCGGCUCAACCGGGGAGGGUCAUUGGAAACUGGGGAACUUGAGUGCAGAAGAGGAGAGUGGAAUUCCACGUGUAGCGGUGAAAUGCGUAGAGAUGUGGAGGAACACCAGUGGCGAAGGCGACUCUCUGGUCUGUAACUGACGCUGAGGAGCGAAAGCGUGGGGAGCGAACAGGAUUAGAUACCCUGGUAGUCCACGCCGUAAACGAUGAGUGCUAAGUGUUAGGGGGUUUCCGCCCCUUAGUGCUGCAGCUAACGCAUUAAGCACUCCGCCUGGGGAGUACGGUCGCAAGACUGAAACUCAAAGGAAUUGACGGGGGCCCGCACAAGCGGUGGAGCAUGUGGUUUAAUUCGAAGCAACGCGAAGAACCUUACCAGGUCUUGACAUCCUCUGACAAUCCUAGAGAUAGGACGUCCCCUUCGGGGGCAGAGUGACAGGUGGUGCAUGGUUGUCGUCAGCUCGUGUCGUGAGAUGUUGGGUUAAGUCCCGCAACGAGCGCAACCCUUGAUCUUAGUUGCCAGCAUUCAGUUGGGCACUCUAAGGUGACUGCCGGUGACAAACCGGAGGAAGGUGGGGAUGACGUCAAAUCAUCAUGCCCCUUAUGACCUGGGCUACACACGUGCUACAAUGGACAGAACAAAGGGCAGCGAAACCGCGAGGUUAAGCCAAUCCCACAAAUCUGUUCUCAGUUCGGAUCGCAGUCUGCAACUCGACUGCGUGAAGCUGGAAUCGCUAGUAAUCGCGGAUCAGCAUGCCGCGGUGAAUACGUUCC
Molecule: ribosomal RNA, 816 nt
Filed under: Bacillus subtilis
Lineage: Bacteria; Bacillati; Bacillota; Bacilli; Caryophanales; Bacillaceae
Description: bacterial SSU rRNA
Rfam family: Bacterial small subunit ribosomal RNA
Source: RNAcentral